ACGCUUAGAGUAUGCCCACAUGAAUGACUCAGCGCAAGUAUGAGUCUUUGUUUUCUUCCGAAAACAAGCUCAAUGAGAGCCAUCGGGGGUAGAUCUAUCUCAUGACGAGUGGUGGAAUACUUUGACUCAUGAGAGAGAAGCUGAGGCGAAGGCGUCUACCUAGAGGGUUUCUGUCGAUCAAGGGCGAGAGUAGGAGUAUCCAACAGGAUUAGAGACCCUGGUAGUUCCUACCUUAAACGAUGCCGACAGGAGUUUGUCAUUUGUUAAUGGCAGAAUCUUUGGAGAAAUCAUAGUUCUUGGGCUCUGGGGGAACUACGACCGCAAGGCUGAAACUUGAAGGAAUUGACGGAAGGGCACACCAGGGGUGGAGCCUGUGGCUUAAUUUGAAUCAACACGGGGAAACUUACCAGGACCAGAUGUUUUUUAUGACUGACAGGCUUCGGGUCUUUCAGGAUAUUGUUUUUGGUGGUGCAUGGCCGUUGGUGGUGCGUGGGUUGACCUGUCUAGCGUUGAUUCAGCUAACGAGCGAGAUUAUCGCCAAUUAUUUACUUUGCCGAAGUCCUUCGGUUAAAGUUCUAAUUGGGACUCCCUGCGAUUUUAGCAGGUGGAAGAGGGUAGCAAUAACAGGUCCGUGAUGCCCUUUAGAUGCUCUGGGCUGCACGCGUGCUACAAUGUUAGGAUCAAUAGGACUGCGAGCCUGAGAGGGUGCGCUACUCUUAUAAUCCCUAACGUAGUUGGGAUUGACGUUUGUAAUCAGCGUCAUGAACCAGGAAUCCCUUGUAAAUGUGUGUCAACAACGCACGUUGAAUACGUCCCUGCCCUUUGUACACACCGCCCGUCGCUCCUACCGAUUGGAUGACUCGGUGAAAUCACCGGAUGCUUACGAGCAGAAAGUGAUUAAAUCACGUUAUCUAGAGGAAGGAGAAGUCGUAACAAGGUAACGGUAGGUGAACCUGCCGUUGGAUCAGUU
This is a non-coding RNA of Trichomonas vaginalis G3, 970 nucleotides long. The record is from Rfam. NCBI's taxonomy places the organism in Eukaryota, Parabasalia, Trichomonadida, Trichomonadidae.